GGGCGCAGACCUGAUGCAGCGACGCCGCGUGAGGGAUGGAGGCCUUCGGGUUGUAAACCUCUUUUAUCGGGGAGCAAGACUGAGUGAGUUUACCCGUUGAAUAAGCACCGGCUAACUACGUGCCAGCAACCGCGGUAAUACGUAGGGUGCAAGCGUUAUCCGGAAUUAUUGGGCGUAAAGGGCUCGUAUGCGGUUCGUCGCGUCCGGUGUGAAAGUCCAUCGCUUAACGGUGGAUCCGCGCCGGGUACGGGCGGGCUUGAGUGCGGUAGGGGAGACUGGAAUUCCCGGUGUAACGGUGGAAUGUGUAGAUAUCGGGAAGAACACC
Molecule: ribosomal RNA, 325 nt
Filed under: uncultured bacterium
Lineage: Bacteria
Description: bacterial SSU rRNA
Rfam family: Bacterial small subunit ribosomal RNA
Source: RNAcentral